CUCUGCAGCUCUACAGAGUGGAGUUUUUUUAAGACUCUUGUAGCUUUUUGUUUUGGUUUAUGGCACAUUAGCCGUGUGGCUCACUCUCACUACUCUCAUCCGACGUGUUUCCAGCAGCAGCAGCAGCAGGCGGCUCCUAAAGUCCUACAACUUGUGGCUCGAUGCGACAAGUUCGGGCACGUUCUGUGAAGAAGCUUCAUCUUCUCAUCUUAACAUGACAACGUAAAAUGUUCAACAUCUCUUCAAGGUAAAAGAAAAGCAUUCACUUCUACUCAUUGUGUAACCUCUCUCCCUCUUCCCUCCAUCCCUCCGUCUGUGAUCUCUGCAGUUAGAGCAGAUCAGAGCUAAGUGAGGCUAUCGGGUUUCUCCUCCCUCGACGGCUGUUUACAGGAGAGACGGAGCGGAACGGGCCUUGAACAAUGCAGAGUGAAUCUUCUCUUCUCUGUUCUGCAGCAUUCCCCGCAUUUCUACCACGGUUUGCUACAGUUCCUGUGG
Long non-coding RNA from Thunnus maccoyii (southern bluefin tuna), 495 nucleotides. RefSeq lists it as uncharacterized. Lineage: Eukaryota; Metazoa; Chordata; Actinopteri; Scombriformes; Scombridae. The transcript is spliced from 2 exons. The record is from RefSeq and is a predicted model, not a curated record.